CAGCCGCCGCGGUAACACCAGCCCCUCGAGUGGUGGGGACUAUUAUUUGGCCUAAGCGUCCGUAGCCGGCUGCAGCCGUCACCCGUUAAAUCCAGCGUCUCAAGCGUUGGACUGCGGGUGAUACCCUGCAGCUUGAGGGUGGGACAGGUUAGCGGUAUUCCCGGGGUAGGGGCGAAAUCCUUUGAUCCCGGGAGGACCACCAGUGGCGAAGGCUGCUGACUAGAACACGCCUGACGGUCAGGGACGAAAGCUGGGGUAGCGAACCGGAUUAGAUACCCGGGUAGUCCCAGCUGUAAACGAUGCACGCUAGGUGUUGGGUCGGCCACGCGCCGCCCCAGUGCCGCAGGGAAGCCGUUAAGCGUGCCGCCUGGGGAGUACGGCCGCAAGGCUGAGACUUAAAGGAAUUGGCGGGGGAGCAC
Molecule: ribosomal RNA, 419 nt
Filed under: uncultured crenarchaeote
Lineage: Archaea; Thermoproteati; Thermoproteota
Description: bacterial SSU rRNA
Rfam family: Archaeal small subunit ribosomal RNA
Source: RNAcentral